This is a long non-coding RNA of Oncorhynchus keta (chum salmon), 1151 nucleotides long. RefSeq lists it as uncharacterized. The transcript has 7 exons. The record is from RefSeq and is a predicted model, not a curated record. Lineage: Eukaryota; Metazoa; Chordata; Actinopteri; Salmoniformes; Salmonidae.
AGGUUCUCCCACACUAUAUAAAGCAAUAGAGGGUGCGUUUUCUCUCUCUUCAGUUCAAGCUAAAUGCAAAAGGUGGACAAACGGCAUACGAUAAACCCUGCUCAGCCCAAUAUGGCUGCAUUGCUACUGCAGAAUAGCUCAAUGGUAUCUUCUGAGCAGAUCCCAGACGGCGGAAUAACGAAUGGAUAUGCAGAAGGAGUAGUCAAUCUGAAGACUCUAAAAAAUGGGAUUCGAAUGAACCAGUGGAUGUUUUAAUUGGAGGCUUAUAACCUAGGAUGACUUGAGAAUUAACCACGGAACAUUCUGAAGGUCUCGUACCAACUGAAUGAAAUGGCAGGGGUGAUGACCCAAUCACCUUGUGAUUGAACAGCCGGUAUGGGGGUACAAGUGUGCCAAACUUAAGAUGAAAUGGCCCAAUCUAGGUCCCUUGAUGGGAAUGUCAAUCUGUAGGUAUAUCCUGAACUUUCAUUUUGGGGUGGAUAAAUCACACUUUAUUUAUCUUCAGAGGGCCUGGUAUGUUCUGAUCAAUGCUGAUACCUUUUAUGUGACUACUGGAUGAAUGAUGUCGAUAUGGGACUAAAGAUCAGAAUAAAUCCUUGGAUAUAAUGUGUGUAUAUAUCAAGAAGCUAAACUUUAUUUCAUUUGCAGGUCUUAUGACUGGCAUUGACCUACUACACUUCAAAGUUGAUAUACCCGUAAUAUGGGUUUUAAGGUACUUCUGUUUUGCCUCGUGCUAAUCAGUCAUCUGUGCAGGGUCUGGUGUGUUCUGAUCAAUGAUUGAUACCUUUUUAAAAUGUGACUGAUGGAUGAAACAUGCGGAUAUGGGACUGAGAUCAGAACGGCACCUUCAAAGUGUAUAUGAUACAAAUUGUCUCCAGCCACUAAAACAUUACUUUAUUCUCAGGUCUUGUGAAAAAUGAUUGAGGCCUGUCAUGCAUCAUAACAUCCAAUCACAUUGAUGUGGGAAUUCCACUAACGAGCUGCUGCUCGAAAAAUGGAUAAGGCCUACAUCCUAAUGAGUGAAGCUAAAUAAUACCAUAUUAUCUGUGCCUUGGUGCAUCACUCACGCCCCAUGAGCCAGGUUGAGUGAAAAACAAUCCUCUCCACUUGUAAAACCCUUUUACUGCAAUAAAGAUGAAUUAACCCUGCAA